AUUGUCCCUAAAAGCUGCAGAUGUGUCACAUUUGUGUCAUUAGGUGGCAGAGAGAAAAAAGGCCACGUAUACAUACAUUCAGUGUUCUGACCUAUGAAUGUUUGAAUGAUUAAUAGUUUUACAUA
This is a small nucleolar RNA of Nycticebus coucang (slow loris), 125 nucleotides long. RefSeq annotates it as small nucleolar RNA SNORA17. The transcript has a single exon. Lineage: Eukaryota; Metazoa; Chordata; Mammalia; Primates; Lorisidae. The record is from RefSeq and is a predicted model, not a curated record.